RNAcentral lists this ribosomal RNA (257 nucleotides) under uncultured bacterium. RNAcentral describes it as "partial 16S ribosomal RNA". It matches the Rfam family "Bacterial small subunit ribosomal RNA", at positions 524 to 778 of the family's 1533-position model. The record is from RNAcentral.
UACGGGGGGGGCAAGCGUUGUUCGGAAUUACUGGGCGUAAAGGGCUCGUAGGCGGCCAACUAAGUCAGACGUGAAAUCCCUCGGCUUAACCGGGGGAACUGCAUCUGAUACUGGAUGGCUUGAGUUCGGGAGAGGGAUGCGGAAUUCCAGGUGUAGCGGUGAAAUGCGUAGAUAUCUGGAGGAACACCGGUGGCGAAGGCGGCAUCCUGGACCGACACUGACGCUGAGGAGCGAAAGCCAGGGGGAGCAAAACGGGG